GCACUGUUUGUGGCGAGGCAAGGGAAGAAGGAGAGAAGAAAACUGCACGGGAUCUGUGGAGAUUCCCCUGCCUGUCUGAGCACCUUGGUGAAGGAACUGAUGGAUUUUUGGG
Molecule: long non-coding RNA, 112 nt
Filed under: Neogale vison (American mink)
Lineage: Eukaryota; Metazoa; Chordata; Mammalia; Carnivora; Mustelidae
Description: Neovison vison (American mink) lncRNA (ENSNVIG00000014591.1)
Source: RNAcentral